AGAUGAUGGGACACGUCAUCGUUUCUUUCAUAUCCCAUUCGGGAACUUGGAGCCUCCGAUAGGAGGGAAAGUUUGGAGGGAAACAAAAACAAUAAGCCGACACGACCAGGACGGUUACAUUGUGCUUCGAAUUAUAAAAGUUAAGAGGCCUUUCUUCAUUCCUCAAUUACAAAACACCAUCAUAAUCAUGACUCAUAACUUUUGGUUCUUUUAAAGUCUUGACAUCCAUCACAUGUUGUAUUCUCACAUUCACCCACGAAAUCCAAUGUGGUUUGUUCGUUCUCAAAACUAAGGUAGUGUUUACUUUCUGGAGUGGGAGUGUGGAGUGUGGAUUCCUCCCACUUCAGUGUUUACUUACCUUAAAAAUGGGGAGAGUGAGAGUAUGAAUCUGUGGGUCCCACUCAAAUUUGGAGUGGGGAGUGGGAUUCCCACUCCCAUUGGGGGAGGUGGGAGUGGGAAUCCACUCUCCCCUCUUCCCAUUUUAUCCUUAUAAAAUUAAAAUAAAUAAAUAAUAUUUAAUAAAAUAAAUAAUAUUUAAUAAAAUAAAUAAUAUCAUAUUUAUUAAAAAUAAUAAUUAUAUCAUAUUUAUUUUAUUAAAUUUAAUAAAAUAAAACUGCUGUACGGCCAAGGCGGAUGUACGGUACAGCAGCUUUUUUUUUUUAAUGUUAAUAGAAUAUAUUUUCCAAAUAUAUUUUUUAUUAAUUUUUUAAUUACAAAUUAUAAUUCUGUACAUAAGGAUAAAAUUAUAAUUUAAAAUAAUUUACUCUCAAUCCAAGACAAAGUAAACAAAUAAUUGGGAUUCUAAUUGACAAUCCAUAUUUUUAUUUAGUCUAAGUAAACACCCUACUCUCACUCCCACCCCACACUCCUAAUCUAAGGAUUCCCACUCCUCAGGAUUCCCACUCCAAUCCAAAAGGUAAACGCAGCAUAAGUGUAUGUGGGUGUGGGUGUGGGUGUUGUGUGUUUUGACUUUGUCAUAACUCAUACGUAAUGUGCGUAAUAUUGAAAUUUUACGCGGGAUUGGGGACUGGGACAGCUGAGUCAAAUACUAUGGGCAAAUAUGGAUUUG
Molecule: long non-coding RNA, 1069 nt
Filed under: Citrus sinensis (sweet orange)
Lineage: Eukaryota; Viridiplantae; Streptophyta; Magnoliopsida; Sapindales; Rutaceae
Description: long non-coding RNA (CSIN_LNC001869)
Source: RNAcentral